This is a non-coding RNA of Violaceomyces palustris, 87 nucleotides long. The record is from the annotation of a GenBank genome assembly. NCBI's taxonomy places the organism in Eukaryota, Fungi, Basidiomycota, Ustilaginomycetes, Violaceomycetales, Violaceomycetaceae.
GCAGGCAUCGUAUAGUGGUUAUUACACUUCGUUGUGGUACAUGAAGCGUAACCCGAAGAAACGGAUGUUCGAUUCCUCCUGCUUGCA